Molecule: ribosomal RNA, 639 nt
Filed under: uncultured Actinomycetes bacterium
Lineage: Bacteria; Bacillati; Actinomycetota; Actinomycetes
Description: bacterial SSU rRNA
Rfam family: Bacterial small subunit ribosomal RNA
Source: RNAcentral
CGCGGCCUAUCAGCUUGUUGGAGAGGUAACGGCUCACCAAGGCAUCGACGGGUAGCUGGUCUGAGAGGAUGAUCAGCCACACUGGGACUGAGACACGGCCCAGACUCCUACGGGAGGCAGCAGUGGGGAAUCUUGCACAAUGGGCGAAAGCCUGAUGCAGCAACGCCGCGUGCGGGAAGAAGGCCCUAGGGUUGUAAACCGCUUUCAGUAGGGAAGAAAAUGACGGUACCUACAGAAGAAGGUGCGGCCAACUACGUGCCAGCAGCCGCGGUGACACGUAGGCACCAAGCGUUAUCCGGAUUUAUUGGGCGUAAAGAGCUCAUAGGCGGUUUGGUAAGUCGGGUGUGAAAACUCUGGGCUCAACCCAGAGAGGCCACCCGAUACUGCUAUGACUAGAGUACGGUAGGGGAGCGGGGAAUUCAUGGUGUAGCGGUGAAAUGCGCAGAUAUCAUGAGGAACACCAGCGGCGAAGGCGCCGCUCUGGGCCGUAACUGACGCUGAGGAGCGAAAGCAUGGGUAGCAAACAGGAUUAGAUACCCUGGUAGUCCAUGCCGUAAACGUUGGGCACUAGGUGUGGGUCUCAACCAACGAGAUCCGCGCCGUCGCUAACGCAUUAAGUGCCCCGCCUGGGGAGUACGG